Paramisgurnus dabryanus is the source of this 1312-nucleotide long non-coding RNA. RefSeq lists it as uncharacterized. Lineage: Eukaryota; Metazoa; Chordata; Actinopteri; Cypriniformes; Cobitidae. The record is from RefSeq and is a predicted model, not a curated record.
AACAAUCUCUGUUGCAACAUAAUACUUUUUUUCUGAACAGUUAACCUUGCACAUGAUAUUUUAAUAGUAAUGUUUAAUUUUUCUUUCUUUUGCUCUUUUGAAAACAUUUAACUGCUUUAGCUAAACCUCAGCCAAAUUCCUGGUUUUGCUGGGCAACAGCACCCAUUUCAUACAAUUUAUUAUAGCGAACCCAAAGGCUCUUUUCAGAGCCAUCCACAUUGCGUCACUGAUUGGACAUCUAAUUCAUCUUUAUUGGACAUCUAAUUCAUCUUUCAGCUUGCCUCUUAAAAACUGCCAGGAAACCCAAAAAAAAACCACAGAUUCAACUAAAAAAAAAAAGCCUAUAAUUUCUACCCAAAAAAAACGACCCAUUUUUUUACCCCACCCAGCCAAUCUGUUGCCCUAACCCCAAAACACCGACUUUCCCCAAAACAGAACGUCCCUUUAACUUUUUGCUUUGACAGAAAGAGUGAGAGCAGAACUACCUACAGCUCCAGUGUGCCCUGCUGCCUUGAGUGUCUUCACAAAGCAACGUUGAUUAGAGGACUGCGUUGGGAAAUCAACACCAUCAACACACACAAUAAUUUACUAUAGUUUUAAAAUUACAUAAUUUCCUAUAGUCUUUUAGACUGCUUAUAACAGAUAAUACACAUUACAGUACUUUUAAAAGUCAUUAAUAUAUCAGUAAAAAAAAAUUGUUUUAGCAAGUUCAUCUUUGAAACGUAUUACAUUUAUAUCUGAGUCUUUUCACAUUUGCCUAUACUCUACUAAUUAAUUGCAUUAGUAAUAUUGCCUUUGGUUAUCAUUUCUGUAAAAUAUUGAGGUUAACAGUUCAACAGUUCCAUUGCUAUAGUCUUGUGUGUUUGUAUAUCUAAUUUCUUGACUGUUUUAACGGUGAAAUUUUAGUACAGUACUUAAAUAUAUCAGUAAAAUAUUCUAAGUUUGACUGUUGUUGUAACUGCUAUUUGAAUAGACUACAUUUAAAGGUCAUUAAAAUAUUUUGGUUUGCCAAGUUCCUCUUUGAAUCUUACCACAUUGUAACAUUUACCUUUAUUAAUUGAUUGCAUUACUGAUAUUGCUUUUGGUUAACAUUUUUGUACAAUAUUGGGGUUGACAGUGUUUGACAGUAUAACAGUUCAAUUGCUAUAGUUUAGUGUGUUUGUAUAUUUAAUUUGUUGACUUGUUACUGAAAUUUCAGUCCUGUACUUAAAAAGCUAAUUAAUAUAUCAGUAAUAUAUUUACAGUUUGACUCUUGUUGUAAUUGAUAUUUGAGUGCAGUACAUUUAAAGGUAAUUAAAAUAUCAGUAAAGUA